CCUACGGGUGGCAGCAGUGGGGAAUCUUGCACAAUGGGGGAAACCCUGAUGCAGCGACGCCGCGUGAGCGAUGAAGCCCUUCGGGGUGUAAAGCUCUUUCGGCCGGAACGAUAAUGACGGUACCGGAAGAAGAAGCUGCGGCUAACUACGUGCCAGCAGCCGCGGUAAUACGUAGGCAGCGAGCGUUGUUCGGAGUUACUGGGCGUAAAGCGUGCGUAGGCGGUUUUCCAAGUCUGCUGUGAAAUCUCCCGGCUCAACUGGGAGGGUGCGGUGGAAACUGGGAGGCUGGAGUGUGGGAGAGGUAGGCGGAAUUCCUGGUGUAGCGGUGAAAUGCGUAGAUAUCAGGAGGAACACCUGCGGUGUAGACGGCUUACUGGACCAUAACUGACGCUGAGGCACGAAAGCGUGGGGAGCAAACAGGAUUAGAUACCCCAGUAGUC
This 440-nucleotide ribosomal RNA is filed under the name uncultured bacterium. RNAcentral describes it as "bacterial SSU rRNA". It matches the Rfam family "Bacterial small subunit ribosomal RNA", at positions 338 to 795 of the family's 1533-position model. The record is from RNAcentral.